AUUGAACGCUGGCGGCAUGCUUUACACAUGCAAGUCGAACGGUAACAGGGUGCUUGCACCGCUGACGAGUGGCGAACGGGUGAGUAAUGCGUCGGAACGUGCCGAGUAGUGGGGGAUAACGCAGCGAAAGUUGUGCUAAUACCGCAUACGUACUGAGGUAGAAAGUGGGGGACCUUCGGGCCUCACGCUAUUCGAGCGGCCGACGUCUGAUUAGCUAGUAGGUGAGGUAAAGGCUCACCUAGGCGACGAUCAGUAGCGGGUCUGAGAGGAUGAUCCGCCACACUGGGACUGAGACACGGCGCAGACUCCCACGGGAGGCAGCAGUGGGGAAUUUUGGACAAUGGGCGAAAGCCUGAUCCAGCCAUGCCGCGUGUCUGAAGAAGGCCUUCGGGUUGUAAAGGACUUUUGUCAGGGAGGAAAUCCCUAGUGCUAAUAACACUGGGGGAUGACAGUACCUGAAGAAUAAGCACCGGCUAACUACGUGCCAGCAGCCGCCGUAA
RNAcentral lists this ribosomal RNA (500 nucleotides) under uncultured bacterium. Its description in RNAcentral is "partial 16S ribosomal RNA". It matches the Rfam family "Bacterial small subunit ribosomal RNA", at positions 30 to 523 of the family's 1533-position model. The record is from RNAcentral.